This 772-nucleotide ribosomal RNA is filed under the name uncultured Neocallimastigales. Its description in RNAcentral is "partial large subunit ribosomal RNA". It matches the Rfam family "Eukaryotic large subunit ribosomal RNA", at positions 24 to 643 of the family's 3401-position model. The record is from RNAcentral. Lineage: Eukaryota; Fungi; Neocallimastigomycota; Neocallimastigomycetes; Neocallimastigales.
UACGACUACAUAUCAGGCAUAUCAAUAAGCGGAGGAAAAGAAACUAACUAGGAUUCCCUCAGUAACGGCGAGUGAAGCGGGAAGAGCUCAAAUCUGAAAUCUUCAAGGUUUCACCUUGACGAAUUGUAGUUUAAAGAAGUGUUUUCUGUUGGAGUUUUGGUAAAAGUUCUUUGGAAUAGGACAUCAUAGAGGGUGAGAAUCCCGUAUUUGACCAUUAUUUCCAGCUUUGUGAUACACUUUCAAAGAGUCGGAUUGUUUGGGAAUGCAGUCCAAAAUGGGUGGUAAAUUUCAUCUAAAGCUAAAUAUUGGCGAGAGACCGAUAGCGAACAAGUACCGUGAGGGAAAGAUGAAAAGAACUUUGAAAGGAGAGUUAAACAGUACGUGAAAUUGUCAAAAGGGAAGCGUUUGACACCAGUGUUGUUUCUACGAAAAUCAAUUUAUGAUGGCUUGAUGCUAAGCUUUAAGACUUUAUCCGCUUGUUGUUUAGUUUCCUUGUCUUUGUGAAUGCACUUUUCGUGGAACAAGUCAACAUCAAUUUCUUUUGCUGUAAAAGGGUAAGAGGAAGGUGGCUUCGGCUUCGGUUGAAGUGUUUAUAGCCUUUUAUCUCUGCAGUCGGAGAGAUUGAGGUCUGCAGCGUAGACUCUUCGGGGUUAGAUACGUCGGUGCUAAGCUAUAGCUUUUCAUAGACAACUUGUUGACUAUGUUAGUCAUGUAGCUUACUCCGCUGCUGCUAUUUUACCUACGCUUAGGAUGUUGACUGAUAUGUAGUCGU